UCUGCAUGCGACAGAGACUUUGAUCGUGAUAUUUUCACUGUAUAUCAUCAGCUCUGCCUGGAUUGGUUCGCAAAGUGAAGAGGUUAUAAAACUGAAAACCACUUUUAUAACCUCCACUAGGCGUGGAAAUCAUGUCAUCUGACAGCAUCAGAAAAAGACCAGCUAUAGGUUGUUAGAAAGGAACGACUGUCUAGUUUCUAAGGACACCAACCAUGAGGGGCGGAGCAGGAAAAUAUGUGUCCACCAUGUUUGGUAGACCUUUAAAUGGAAUCUCGAGUGUUUAAAGUUCUGUAAAACCGAUUAGUAACUGUGAAAGAAACGAUUUCAGCGACUUGCUUCAGGAACAUUAAAGCCUUUUCCUUCUAGGGAUUUAGAGAGUUUGGCCGUGUUUGAAGGACUCUUAGAGACGGUGAAGGACGUCGCCCUCUGGGCCCGGCACCAGGCGGGUCAUCCUGUCCAGACUGGUGGUGAGUUCAGGGGUCAAAGAGGUCAUGAGACGCUGAAGCUGAUCUGGCCUCUACUCGCCGUACAUCAUUGAUUUCCUCACCUUUACUCUAAAACAGGACCGGCCAAACAGAAAUGGGCUCCAACAGUCUGCCAGAAGACACCAGGACCCUUCACCAGCAGAAUGAGACUAAAAUAUAGCUGCAGGAAGCCGCCCUGGAUGAAAUGCAGCGUCCCCUGGACUGACAGACCACCGCAUGAGUUUCACAGCGAGCUGAUCGAUACUGUACACACAGGCUAUUCAUCAGAGAGCUGCAGCGGAGCGUGCUCAGUGCAGGCAGCUUCCACCAAAAUGGACGCCUUUCAUUCAGCGGCCGCGCUGGACGCCGCGCUGGACGCCGCGCUGGACGCCGCGCUGGAGGCCGCCAUCUUUGAUGCACCAGGGGAAAAUAAAAGUCACACAGCAGGAUUUUCUCUUGAUUUGUACAGUUCAAAAUCAACGUGACCAGUUGGACUGAAAGUGCAGCUUUUCUAAAAUACAUCAAAUGUAAAUAGUUUCAUGUGAGCUGACUGUCAGGAAGCAACACCCCCCCCCCCCCCCC
This is a long non-coding RNA of Fundulus heteroclitus (mummichog), 1046 nucleotides long. RefSeq lists it as uncharacterized. The transcript is spliced from 3 exons. Lineage: Eukaryota; Metazoa; Chordata; Actinopteri; Cyprinodontiformes; Fundulidae. The record is from RefSeq and is a predicted model, not a curated record.